GCCGAGGUGGCGAAAUUGGCAGACGCACUAGACUUAGGAUCUAGCGCCGCGAGGCGUGCAGGUUCGAUUCCUGUCCUCGGCACCA
RNAcentral lists this transfer RNA (85 nucleotides) under Acidobacteriota bacterium. RNAcentral's name for it is "Acidobacteria bacterium (rhizosphere metagenome) tRNA-Leu". It matches the Rfam family "tRNA". Rfam says of the family: Transfer RNA (tRNA) molecules are approximately 80 nucleotides in length. Their secondary structure includes four short double-helical elements and three loops (D, anti-codon, and T loops). RNAcentral also lists the same sequence under 4 other names. The record is from RNAcentral. Lineage: Bacteria; Pseudomonadati; Acidobacteriota.